Molecule: ribosomal RNA, 478 nt
Filed under: uncultured bacterium
Lineage: Bacteria
Description: partial 16S ribosomal RNA
Rfam family: Bacterial small subunit ribosomal RNA
Source: RNAcentral
GACGAACGCUGGCGGCGUGCUUAACACAUGCAAGUCGAACGGUAAGGCCCUUCGGGGUACACGAGUGGCGAACGGGUGAGUAACACGUGGGUGAUCUGCCCUGCACUUCGGGAUAAGCCUGGGAAACUGGGUCUAAUACCGGAUAGGACCCUGGGAUGCAUGUCCUGGGGGGGAAAGCUCUUGCGGUGUGGGAUGGGCCCGCGGCCUAUCAGCUUGUUGGUGGGGUGAUGGCCUACCAAGGCGACGACGGGUAGUCGGCCUGAGAGGGUGACCGGCCACACUGGGACUGAGAUACGGCCCAGACUCCUACGGGAGGCAGCAGUGGGGAAUAUUGCACAAUGGGCGCAAGCCUGAUGCAGCGACGCCGCGUGAGGGAUGACGGCCUUCGGGUUGUAAACCUCUUUCAGCACCGACGAAGCGCAAGUGACGGUAGGUGCAGAAGAAGGACCGGCCAACUACGUGCCAGCAGCCGCCGUAA